UAAGGAAUAUUGGUCAAUGGACGCAAGUCUGAACCAGCCAUGCCGCGUGAAGGAUGAAGGUCCUCUGGAUUGUAAACUUCUUUUAUCUGGGACGAAAACGGGAUUUUUAUCUCAAUUGACGGUACCAGAGGAAUAAGCACCGGCUAACUCCGUGCCAGCAGCCGCGGUAAUACGGAGGGUGCGAGCGUUAUCCGGAUUUCCUGGGUUUAAAGGGUGAGUAGGUGGGCUUAUAAGUCAGUGGUGAAAUCUCCGAGCUUAACUUGGAAACUGCCGUUGAUACUAUAGGUCUUGAAUUAUCUGGAGGUAAGCGGAAUAUGUCAUGUAGCGGUGAAAUGCUUAGAUAUGACAUAGAACACCAAUUGCGAAGGCAGCUUACUACAUAUAAAUUGACGCUGAGGCACGAAAGCGUGGGGAUCAAACA
RNAcentral lists this ribosomal RNA (421 nucleotides) under uncultured bacterium. Its description in RNAcentral is "bacterial SSU rRNA". It matches the Rfam family "Bacterial small subunit ribosomal RNA", at positions 355 to 774 of the family's 1533-position model. The record is from RNAcentral.